AAUAGAUACCCAGGUAGUCCUAGCCGUAAACGUUGGGUGCUAGGUGUGGGCGGAUAUCGACCCCGUCCGUGCCGAAGCUAACGCAUUAAGCACCCCCGCCUGGGGAGUACGGCCGCAAGGCUAAAACUCAAAGGAAUUGACGGGGCCCCGCACAAGCGGCGGAGCAUGCUGCUUAAUUCGAUGCAACGCGAAGAACCUUACCUGGGUUUGACAUGCAGGGUGAAACCCGUGAAAGCGGGCGCUCUUCGGAGCCUGCACAGGUGGUGCAUGGCUGUCGUCAGCUCGUGCCGUGAGGUGUUGCCUUAAGUGGCGCAACGAGCGCAACCCCUGUCCUUAGUUGCCAGCGGGUCAUGCCGGGAACUCUAGGGAGACUGCCGGUGCCAAACCGGAGGAAGGUGGGGAUGACGUCAAGUCAGCAUGCCCCUUAUACCCAGGGCUGCAAGCAUGCUACAAUGCGCGAUACAAAGGGCUGCGAUCCCGUAAGGGGAGCGAAUCCCAAAAAGUCGCGCUCAGUUCGGA
Molecule: ribosomal RNA, 519 nt
Filed under: uncultured bacterium
Lineage: Bacteria
Description: bacterial SSU rRNA
Rfam family: Bacterial small subunit ribosomal RNA
Source: RNAcentral